UGGGGAUGACUAUGGGGAUGACUAUGGGGAUGGCCAUGGGGAUGACUAUGGGGUGGCCAUGGGGAUGACUAUGGGGUGGCCAUGGGGGCAACCACGGGGAUGACUAUGGGGGCAACCAUGGGGUGGCCAUGGGGAUGACUAUGGGGUGGCCAUGGGGCGGCCAUGGGGAUGACUAUGGGGUGGCCAUGGGGCGGCUAUAGGGUGGCCAUGGGGAUGACUAUGGGGAUGGCUAUGGGGUGGCCAUGGGGAUGGCUAUGGGGACAGCCAUGAUGGUGGCUAUAGGGUCUAUGAGGCGGUAAUGGUGUGGCUACGGGGUGGCCAUGGGGGCCACGAGGUGGCAAUGGGGGCGGCUAUGGGGCAGCUAUGGGGCAGCCAUGGGGCAGCCAUGGGGCGGCCGCCGUCCGCACCUCGCUUGAUCCAGACGUGGUGGCGGAAGCGGGGCGGCAUGCUGGCCAGGAAGCGGCAGCCCUCGGCCGUCUCCACCUCGUGCAGGUUGUUCCCGGGGCUGCCCAGCACCUGCGCGGCCAGCGCCGAAUGCGGGACCCCAAAAUCACACCGGGACCCCGUUGUACCCACAGAGACCCCAAAAUCCCCAUAUGGACCACAAAAUCCCAUAGAGAUCCCAUUGUACCCAUAGAGACCCCUAAAUCCCACGGGAACCCCGUUGUACCCACAGAGACCCCAAAAUCCCCAUAUGGACCCCAAUGACCCCAUAGAGACCCCAAUGUACCCAUAGAGACCCCGAAAAUCCCACGGGGACCCCAUUGUCCCCAUAGAGACCCCAAAAUCCCACGGGGACCCCAUUGUACCCAUAGAGACCCCAUUGUCCCCAUAUGGACCCCAAUGACCCCAUAGAGACCCCAAUGUACCCAUAGAGACCCCCAAAAUCCCAUGGGGACCCCAUUGUACCCACAGGAAACCCACCAUCCCCAUACAGACCCCAAAAUCCCACAGGGACCCCAUUGUCCCCACAGAGACCCCAAUGUACCCAUAGAGACACCAAUGACCCCAUAGAGACCCCGAAAAUCCCACGGGGACCCCAUUGUCCCCAUAGAGAUCCCAAAAUCCCCAUAUGGACCCCAAUGACUCCAUAGAGACCCCAUUGUACCCAUACAGACCCCAAAAUCCCCGUAUGGACCCCAAUGAGCCCAUAGAGACCCCAUUGUCCCCAUAGAGACCCCAAUGACCCCAUAGAGACCCCAAAAUCCCACGGGGACCCCAUUGUACCCAUACAGACCCCAAAAUCCCCAUAUGGACCCCAAUGACCCCAUAGAGACCCCAUUGUCCCUGUAGAGACCCCAAAAUCCCAUGGGGACCCCAUUGUCCCCAUACAGACCCCAAAAUCCCACGGGGACCCCAUUGUCCCCACAGAGACCCCAAAACCCCCAUGUGGACCCAAAUGACCCCAUAGUCCCCAUAGAGACCCCAAAAUCCCACAGGGACCCUGCUGCACCCACAGGAAACCCACAAUCCCCAUAGAGACCCCAAAACCCCAUGGGGCCCCACUGUACGCACAGAAACCCCACAAUCCCCACAAAGACCCCAUAACCCCAUAGAAACCCCAUAUCAGCCUUAUUGCUCCUAUAGAGACCCCAUAAAGACCGCACAGAGACCCCACAGAGACCCUAUUAGCCCCAUAGAGACCCCACUGCCCCCAUACAGACCCCAUAGAGAUUUCAUGCCGACCCUAUUGCCCCCAUACAGACCC
Molecule: long non-coding RNA, 1708 nt
Filed under: Phasianus colchicus (ring-necked pheasant)
Lineage: Eukaryota; Metazoa; Chordata; Aves; Galliformes; Phasianidae
Description: lncRNA (ENSPCLG00000017739.1)
Source: RNAcentral